Molecule: transfer RNA, 84 nt
Filed under: Xylaria curta
Lineage: Eukaryota; Fungi; Ascomycota; Sordariomycetes; Xylariales; Xylariaceae
Also listed under: 2 other names
Description: tRNA-Asn
Source: RNAcentral
UCCUCCGUGGCGCAAUUGGCUAGCGCGUUCGACUGUUAUUAACAGACUAUCGAGAGGUUGACAGUUCAAGCCUGUCCGGGGGAG